Molecule: long non-coding RNA, 1453 nt
Organism: Lolium perenne
Lineage: Eukaryota; Viridiplantae; Streptophyta; Magnoliopsida; Poales; Poaceae
Source: RefSeq, a predicted model, not a curated record
UCUCCAACGUGAAGGCAAUGCGAGGAGAAGAACAUAUGAACUUUGGAAUAUCGACCUGUACUACAAGGUAUUUCUCGCGGUACAGACGCUCCCCUCAAGGUCAACGCGCGCCCACUCUCCGCGUCUUGUUUCCGGUCCCCCCGCGAUGAUCGUGCACGCCUCCGCCUCCAGCGCGCACGCCCUCCCGCCUUGGCCCAUCACGCGUAACCAUUGCCGCCCCUCGCCCAAGGCCGCCGCCAAUCGCAACCCGAGACGCGCCCUUCCGCCGCCGCGCAAGCGCCCAUCCGCCCAACCCCGCGCGCGCUAGCCCACGCUGCCGAUCUGCGCAACACCACGGUGAGGCCUUGUACCGCCGCCUGUACAAUCGAAGGGGUCAGAGGAGAGAGAACCAUCGUUCCCCAUUUGGUUUCUCUACCUGCUCUCGAUCUCCUCCGAUUGAUGCCGCUUCCACCGAUAUAUUCGUCUAAUACGCACAAUUGAGGGAGGGAUUGGAUGACGAAGUUACCACCCAGGAGCAGGGGAUGGGGUCAUUGUUGUUCCUCGUCGAUGGCAUCUCCGCUCCCACGCCGCUACCAUAGCCGCCACCGUGUCGGCCGACGACCGGCAAAACCUUGUCCCGCCGCAGAGGUCUCUGCUGACUCCUGCCCCGGAGGAGCUUGUGGCCCGCGCCUUCUCCCCCGUCACGGCCGCCUCCCUCCACCUGCCUCCCAUCUGCGACACCCUCACUAGUGCGGGGAGCAGGGCCAGCAGCACGCCCCCCCUGGAGAAAAACUCGAAGCGCCAGUUCCAGCGUGAGGGCAAGCAGGUAAUCUGUAAUAACUAAGGUGAGCUGCUUUGCUCUAAUUCCCCAACAUUAUGCAGAUGUGUGGUGCAUUCCACGUGUUUGUGGUAAUUCCUAGAUGUAGUUGCUCUGAACUUGGAUGGCACUUUGGUCCUGCCUGGUUGUCAUGUCCUGUUGGUUACCGUCUGCGGCGAACAUUGAUCCAUCGCUGGUUGCGUACGAUGACAAAAUAAAACAAGGGAUCGAUCAUGGGAAUGUGUAUUCCCGUGACCAUGAAGCAAUGGUUGCGGAAACUCUUUACUCCUGCAACUGCAAAAACUAAAGUGGUGAAAUAUGCACGGCUAUGUGGCAAAGCUUCGCGAGUUCUUCUAUAGAAGGCAAGACUGGGACUGAUGGUGCUCAAGCUGGAGGUGAUAGAAUGAGUAGAAGAUGUGGAAGUGUUGGGAUCUUGGUGUUUUUUUGUUUGUAGAUGUAGAUGAUGCAGUAAGUAGAAGACGUGGAAGUGUCAGGUGUUUGAUUUCUUUUGGUUCGCUUGUAGUUGCCGUAGAGUACGUUUUUCCUGCUUAGUUUCAAAUUUGUGUAACUGAUUUUCAACCUUGGAUUUGGAGCGACAUGUUUACUAUAAUACACUUUGUACCGUGCUUUCGUUGAAUUUAAUAUGAGGUGAUGCUA